Molecule: ribosomal RNA, 1466 nt
Filed under: uncultured bacterium
Lineage: Bacteria
Description: bacterial SSU rRNA
Rfam family: Bacterial small subunit ribosomal RNA
Source: RNAcentral
GACGAACGCUGGCGGUGCGCCUUGAUGGCAAUGGCAACGUUCGAGCGAAGCUCUUCUUGGUUACGUGUUAGCUGACUGAGGAAAUGGACCUGAUCGGCGAACGGGUGAGUAACGCGUGAGCAAUCUACCUUAGUUACUGGGAUAGCCCGAGGAAACUCGGAUUAAUACCAGAUAUUCUUAUUUUUUCACAUGAAGUUUUAAGGAAAGGUCAGCCGAACUAAGAUGAGCUCGCGUUCUAUCAGCUAGUUGGUGGGGUAAAAGCCUACCAAGGCAACGACGGAUAGCUGGUCUGAGAGGACGAUCAGCCACACUGGGACUGAGACACGGCCCAGACUCCUACGGGAGGCUGCAGCAGGGAAUAUUGUGCAAUGAGCGAAAGCUUGACACAGCGACACCGCGUGUGGGACAACGGUUCUAGGAUCGUAAACCACUUCCAGGAGGGAAGAAAAUGACGGUACCUCCACAAGAAGACCCGGCCAACUAUGUGCCAGCAGCCGCGGUAAUACAUAGGGGUCAAGCGUUGUCCGGAUUUAUUGGGCGUAAAGAGUUCGUAGGCGGUUCAACAAGUCGGUCGUAAAAGUUUAGGGCUCAACCCUAAAAUGUCGAUCGAUACUGUUGUGACUAGGAUACGGUAGAGGUGAAUGGAAUUCCGAGUGUAGCGGUGAAAUGCGUAGAUAUUCGGAGGAACACCAAUUGCGAAGGCAGUUCACUGGACCGUGAUCGACGCUGAGGAGCGAAAGCUAGGGGAGCAAACAGGAUUAGAUACCCUGGUAGUCCUAGCUGUAAACGAUGGAUACUAGAUGUAGGAACUGAAUUGACGGUUUCUGUAUCGUAGCUAACGCGUUAAGUAUCCCGCCUGGGGAGUACGGUCGCAAGACUAAAACUCAAAGGAAUUGACGGGACCCCGCACAAGCGGCGGAGCAUGCGGCUUAAUUCGAUGAUACCCGUAGAACCUUACCUGGACUUGACAUAUAGGGAAAAACUGGAGAAAUCCAGUGUGCGUAAGCGCCCUUUACAGGUGGUGCAUGGCUGUUGUCGGCUCGUGUCGUGAGAUGUUGGGUUAAGUCCCGCAACGAGCGCAACCCCUGUCCUAUGUUGCCAGCAAGUAAUGUUGGGGACUCAUAGGAGACUGCCGGUGAUAAACCGGAGGAAGGUGGGGAUGACGUCAAGCCAUCAUGCCCCUUAUGUCCAGGGCUGCACGCAUGCUACAAUGGCAAGUACAACGAGUCGCAAUACCGCGAGGUGGAGCAAAUCUCUUAAAGCUUGUCUCAGCUCGGAUAGGAGUCUGCAACUCGACUCCUUGAAGUUGGAGUCGCUAGUAAUCGCAAAUCAGCAAAGUUGCGGUGAAUACGUUCUCGGGGUUUGUACACACCGCCCGUCAAGUCACGGAAGUCGGCAAUACGCGAAGCCAGUGGUCUAACCCUUUGGGGAAGAAGCUGUCGAACGUAGGGUUGGUAACUGGGACU